CGUGUAGGCGGUCUGUUAAGUCUGAUGUGAAAGCCCGGGGCUCACCCCCGGAAGUGCAUUGGAUACUGGCGGACUCGAGUCUCGGAGAGGAGGGUGGAAUUCCUGGUGUAGCGGUGAAAUGCGUAGAUAUCAGGAGGAACACCGGUGGCGAAGGCGGCCCUCUGGACGAUGACUGACGCUGAGACGCGAAAGCGUGGGGAGCAAACA
RNAcentral lists this ribosomal RNA (207 nucleotides) under uncultured bacterium. RNAcentral's name for it is "partial 16S ribosomal RNA". It matches the Rfam family "Bacterial small subunit ribosomal RNA", at positions 568 to 774 of the family's 1533-position model. The record is from RNAcentral.